RNAcentral lists this ribosomal RNA (446 nucleotides) under uncultured bacterium. RNAcentral describes it as "partial 16S ribosomal RNA". It matches the Rfam family "Bacterial small subunit ribosomal RNA", at positions 338 to 795 of the family's 1533-position model. The record is from RNAcentral.
CCUACGGGUGGCAGCAGUCGAGAAUCAUUCACAAUGGGGGAAAGCCUGAAGGAGCGACGCCGCGUGGGGGAAUGAAGCUCUGCGGAUUGUAAACCCCUGUUAUGGGGGAGCAAAUUAAAAAGAUAGUACCACAAGAGGAAUAGACGGCGAACCAUGUUCCAGCAGCCGCGGUAAUACAGAGGUCGCAAGCGGUGAUCGGAAUAACUGGGCGUAAAGGGUGCGUUGGGUGUUGCGGAAGUCGUGUGUGAAAGGUGCGGGGUCAACCCGCGGACGGCACCUGAUACUGCGAGACUAGAGUAAUGGAGUGGGAUGCGGAAUGCUCGGUGUAGCAGUGAAAUGCGUAGAUAUCGCGAGGAACACUCGUGGCGAAGGCGGGUUCCUGGACAUUAACUGACGCUGAUGCUCGAAAGCGCGGGUAUCGAACAGGAUUAGAUACCCUUGUAGUC